GAUGAACGCUGGCGGCGUGCCUAAUACAUGCAAGUCGAGCGAACGGACGAGAAGCUUGCUUCUCUGAUGUUAGCGGCGGACGGGUGAGUAACACGUGGAUAACCUACCUAUAAGACUGGGAUAACUUCGGGAAACCGGAGCUAAUACCGGAUGAUAUUUUGAACCGCAGGGUUCAAAAGUGAAAGACGGUCUUGCUGUCACUUAUAGAUGGAUCCGCGCUGCAUUAGCUAGUUGGUAAGGUAACGGCUUACCAAGGCAACGAUGCAUAGCCGACCUGAGAGGGUGAUCGGCCACACUGGAACUGAGACACGGUCCAGACUCCUACGGGAGGCAGCAGUAGGGAAUCUUCCGCAAUGGGCGAAAGCCUGACGGAGCAACGCCGCGUGAGUGAUGAAGGUCUUCGGAUCGUAAAACUCUGUUAUUAGGGAAGAACAUAUGUGUAAGUAACUGUGCACAUCUUGACGGUACCUAAUCAGAAAGCCACGGCUAACUACGUG
RNAcentral lists this ribosomal RNA (497 nucleotides) under uncultured bacterium. RNAcentral's name for it is "partial 16S ribosomal RNA". It matches the Rfam family "Bacterial small subunit ribosomal RNA", at positions 28 to 507 of the family's 1533-position model. The record is from RNAcentral.